Molecule: long non-coding RNA, 467 nt
Organism: Pistacia vera
Lineage: Eukaryota; Viridiplantae; Streptophyta; Magnoliopsida; Sapindales; Anacardiaceae
Exons: 4
Source: RefSeq, a predicted model, not a curated record
AGGAUGGCUUCAACAAGAUUCAUGAUUUGGAGAGUUCACUUGCUUCGUUUCCUAUCAAACCAUUGCAAGCACUGAAGUAAUGAUUAGUUAUUUUCUUCUCAUCUUCAGUUGCCAAGACUUCAUCAAUAUCAUUAACUGUCUUCUAGGAGUAGUUUUGAUAUUACUGAGGAUGAUGAGGGUACAACUAGUCCUAGUUGGAAGGUUACUGGUCAAUUAGAUAUUGAGCAAUAGUUUCUUACACAGACUUACCAGGGGCCUUGGACCAAGAAACUGGAAGGAGUGACGGUGAGAAUUCGGGGAAAACUAUCUCUUGACCACGUCAUGCCAUCUCUGAGGAAUUCUCUACAGCCAAAAAAAUAAUCCAAGUGGAACUACAGUGGCCCAUUGUUGUAUUGCCAAAGGAGAGAGGCAAAUCAUUUUCAGCAGAGGAUAAAUCAGGAGCAGUGGUCCAACACAAGGGGACCGUU